Molecule: ribosomal RNA, 253 nt
Filed under: uncultured bacterium
Lineage: Bacteria
Description: partial 16S ribosomal RNA
Rfam family: Bacterial small subunit ribosomal RNA
Source: RNAcentral
UACAGAGGGUGCGAGCGUUAAUCGGAAUUACUGGGCGUAAAGGGCGCGUAGGCGGCGUGGUAAGUCACUUGUGAAAUCUCUGAGCUUAACUCAGAACGGCCAAGUGAUACUGCUGUGCUAGAGUGCAGAAGGGGCAAUCGGAAUUCUUGGUGUAGCGGUGAAAUGCGUAGAUAUCAAGAGGAACACCUGAGGUGAAGACGGGUUGCUGGGCUGACACUGACGCUGAGGCGCGAAAGCCAGGGGAGCAAACGGG